UACGUAGGGGGCAAGCGCUGUCCGGAAUCAUUGGGCGUAAAGAGCGUGUAGGCGGCCCGAUAAGUCCGCUGUGAAAGUCCAGGGCUCAACCCUGGAAUGCCGGUGGAUACUGUCGGGCUCGAGUCCGGUAGGGGAGUGUGGAAUUCCCGGUGUAGCGGUGAAAUGCGCAGAUAUCGGGAGGAACACCAGUAGCGAAGGCGGCACUCUGGGCCGGUACUGACGCUGAGGAGCGAAAGCGUGGGGAGCGAACAGG
This 253-nucleotide ribosomal RNA is filed under the name uncultured bacterium. RNAcentral describes it as "partial 16S ribosomal RNA". It matches the Rfam family "Bacterial small subunit ribosomal RNA", at positions 524 to 776 of the family's 1533-position model. The record is from RNAcentral.